AUUAUUUCUAAGCGUCACAACCAUUAGUAACGAACCUAUCAGCGGCCAGGCACAUUCGGUUACAUUUUUAAAAAAGAACCCCUUUGCAAGGCAGCCAACAAAAUGUAAUGGGUGAAUGCCGAUUAUUUGAGCGGGGUCCUUACUCAGGGUCCUUACAAUUCUUAGCGGCCUGUCGGAAAUAGAAGAUGUACUAUGACCUUGACCCUGCGCCCCGUCGUCAGCGGCACCGUGAGGCCGGCCCGCCUCUGGAUCCGGAAGAAAGGAGCAGGCUCAGUAAGGGCUAUACGCAAACAAUUGUUUACACUUCGAAUGACUAGCCAAUGUACUGUUUAAGAAUUAGAUUUUAACGGAAUAUUAAGUUUGUAUAUUGUAUAUGCAAUGCAUUAAUGGGGCUCAUGGAAGACAUAUACGGGUUUAUUUUAAAAACAAUAGUAUGAUCUUUAAAUAAAUGGUUGCUAAACAAAUAUAUAUAAAAUACUUA
Dreissena polymorpha is the source of this 481-nucleotide long non-coding RNA. RefSeq lists it as uncharacterized. Lineage: Eukaryota; Metazoa; Mollusca; Bivalvia; Myida; Dreissenidae. The transcript is spliced from 2 exons. The record is from RefSeq and is a predicted model, not a curated record.